GGAAGCGCAGUAAUGCGUUAAGCUAACCAGUACUAAUUGCUCGUGAGGCUUGAUCCUAUAACAUUA
RNAcentral lists this ribosomal RNA (66 nucleotides) under Gallionellales bacterium GWA2_59_43. Its description in RNAcentral is "partial 23S ribosomal RNA". The record is from RNAcentral. Lineage: Bacteria; Pseudomonadati; Pseudomonadota; Betaproteobacteria; Nitrosomonadales.